Molecule: ribosomal RNA, 113 nt
Filed under: Acanthosepion pharaonis
Lineage: Eukaryota; Metazoa; Mollusca; Cephalopoda; Sepiida; Sepiidae
Source: RNAcentral
UUACGGCCAUAUCACGUUGAAAUAGCGGUUCUCGUACGAUCACUGAAGUUAAACAACGUCGAGCCAGGUCAGUACCGAGAUGAAUGAACGCUUGGGAAUACCAGGUGCUGUAA